CGUAGGGUGCGAGCGUUGUCCGGAAUUAUUGGGCGUAAAGAGCUUGUAGGCGGUCUUGUCGCGUCUGCUGUGAAAGCCCCGGGGCUUAACCCCGGGUCGUGGCAGUGGGUACGGGCAGGCUAGAGUGUGGUAGGGGAGACUGGAAUUCCUGGUGUAGCGGUGGAAUGCGCAGAUAUCAGGAGGAACACCGAUGGCGAAGGCAGGUCUCUGGCCAUUACUGACGCUGAGAGCGAAAGCGUGGGGGAGCGAACAGGAUU
Molecule: ribosomal RNA, 257 nt
Filed under: uncultured bacterium
Lineage: Bacteria
Description: partial 16S ribosomal RNA
Rfam family: Bacterial small subunit ribosomal RNA
Source: RNAcentral